GUGCUUGCUUUGGCAGCACAUAUAUUAAAAUUGGAACGAUACAGAGAUUAGCAUGAUCUCUGCGCAAGGAUGACACACAAAUUCGUGAAGUAGUCCAUGUUUUU
Molecule: small nuclear RNA, 104 nt
Organism: Homo sapiens (human)
Lineage: Eukaryota; Metazoa; Chordata; Mammalia; Primates; Hominidae
Source: Ensembl